CUUGACGGACCCGAGCAGCAGCGGGUGCUCGCGCUCCUGCCCGUAUGUGGCCAGCAGCGCCUGCGCCUC
RNAcentral lists this antisense RNA (69 nucleotides) under Amycolatopsis sp. YIM 10. Its description in RNAcentral is "ASpks TB sRNA". It matches the Rfam family "ASpks TB sRNA". Lineage: Bacteria; Bacillati; Actinomycetota; Actinomycetes; Pseudonocardiales; Pseudonocardiaceae. The record is from Rfam by way of RNAcentral.